This 83-nucleotide ribosomal RNA is filed under the name Crataegus chrysocarpa. RNAcentral describes it as "partial 5.8S ribosomal RNA". It matches the Rfam family "5.8S ribosomal RNA", at positions 73 to 154 of the family's 154-position model. Rfam says of the family: 5.8S ribosomal RNA (5.8S rRNA) is a component of the large subunit of the eukaryotic ribosome. The record is from RNAcentral. Lineage: Eukaryota; Viridiplantae; Streptophyta; Magnoliopsida; Rosales; Rosaceae.
UGCAGAAUCCCGUGAACCAUCGAGUCUUUGAACGCAAGUUGCGCCCGAAGCCUUUAGGCCGAGGGCACGCCUGCCUGGCGUCA